This 375-nucleotide ribosomal RNA is filed under the name uncultured organism. RNAcentral's name for it is "partial 16S ribosomal RNA". It matches the Rfam family "Bacterial small subunit ribosomal RNA", at positions 527 to 896 of the family's 1533-position model. The record is from RNAcentral.
GUAGGUGGCAAGCGUUGUCCGGGAAUUAUUGGGGCGUAAAGCGCGCGCAGGCGGUUCUUUAAGUCUGAUGUGAUAGCCCACGGGCUCAACCGUGGAGGGUCAUUGGAAACUGGAGAACUUGAGUACAGAAGAGGAAAGCGGAAUUCCACGUGUAGCGGUGAUAUGCGUAGAGAUGUGGAGGAACACCAGUGGCGAAGGCGGCUUUCUGGUCUGUAACUGACGCUGAGGCGCGAAAGCGUGGGGAGCAAACAGGAUUAGAUACCCUGGUAGUCCACGCCGUAAACGAUGAGUGCUAAGUGUUAGGGGGUUUCCGCCCCUUAGUGCUGCAGCUAACGCAUUAAGCACUCCGCCUGGGGAGUACGGCCGCAAAGGCUG